UACGUAGGGGGCAAGCGUUGUCCGGAUUUAUUGGGCGUAAAGAGCGUGUAGGCGGCCGUACAGGUCAGCUGUGAAAACUCGAGGCUCAACCCCGAGACGUCGGUUGAAACCGUACGGCUAGAGUCCGGAAGAGGAGAGUGGAAUUCCCGGUGUAGCGGUGAAAUGCGCAGAUAUCGGGAAGAACACCCGUGGCGAAGGCGGCUCUCUGGGACGGUACUGACGCUGAGACGCGAAAGCGUGGGGAGCGAACAGG
Molecule: ribosomal RNA, 253 nt
Filed under: uncultured bacterium
Lineage: Bacteria
Description: partial 16S ribosomal RNA
Rfam family: Bacterial small subunit ribosomal RNA
Source: RNAcentral